AUCUCUUUCCCUAAUUAGAUCUAAUUACCCAUCCCCCCAACCCUUCAUUCUCACCAGCCUGUCUCUAUCUCUCUAACCUAUGCUCUCUAACCUCUCAUCUCUCUAGAACCUUCUGGUUCUCUCCGUCUUCUCCGAUGACGACCAUCGCCUCUCCGGCUCACUCCUCCUUCACUUCUCUCAAUCUCCAGCAACCAUGGAGUCCCUGUAUCGCUAUUUUCUCUCUAAAUUUUGAAGCCACCUCUCCGGCUCACUCCUCCCUCACCUCUCUCGAUCUCCAGCAACCAUGGAGUCCAUGUAUCACCAUCUUCUCUCCAAAGCUUAAAAACCCAGAAGCCUCCACCAUGAAUAUGGUUACUGGAGCCUUGUCAAGGUCCGAUUCCGGCCUUUCUCCGAUGGAUUUUGGUUCGAUGAUGCUAAAAACGUCAUUAUCUUUGAGCUUCACAACCAGG
This 449-nucleotide long non-coding RNA is filed under the name Nicotiana benthamiana. RNAcentral's name for it is "long non-coding RNA (NBEN_LNC022620)". The record is from RNAcentral. Lineage: Eukaryota; Viridiplantae; Streptophyta; Magnoliopsida; Solanales; Solanaceae.